RNAcentral lists this ribosomal RNA (207 nucleotides) under uncultured bacterium. RNAcentral's name for it is "partial 16S ribosomal RNA". It matches the Rfam family "Bacterial small subunit ribosomal RNA", at positions 568 to 774 of the family's 1533-position model. The record is from RNAcentral.
CGUGCAGGCGGUUUGGCAAGUCAGAUGUGAAAGCCCUGGGCUUAACCCGGGAAGUGCAUUUGAAACUGCCUUUCUUGAGUAUGGGAGAGGAGAGUGGAAUUCCCAGUGUAGAGGUGAAAUUCGUAGAUAUUGGGAGGAACACCCGUGGCGAAGGCGACUCUCUGGACCAAUACUGACGCUGAGACGCGAAAGCGUGGGGAGCAAACA